RNAcentral lists this long non-coding RNA (775 nucleotides) under Homo sapiens (human). Its description in RNAcentral is "HSALNT0245136". The record is from RNAcentral. Lineage: Eukaryota; Metazoa; Chordata; Mammalia; Primates; Hominidae.
UCCUGCGAUGGUUGAUAUUGAGUGUCAACUGGAUUGGAUGGAAGGAUGCAAAGUAUUGUUCCUGGGUGUGUCUAUGAGGGUGUUGCCAAAGGAGAUUAACAUUUGGGUCAGUGGACUGGGAAAGGCAGACCCAGCCUCAAUCUGGGAGGGCACCAUAAAAGCAGGUAUGUAAAGAGCAGACUGGCUGAGUCUUCCAGCCUCCAUCUUUCUGCUGUGCUGGAUGUUUCCUGCCCUCAAACAUUGAACUCCAAGUUCUUCAGCUUUUGGUUCUUGGACCUGCACCAGUAGUUUGCCAGGGGCUGUUGGGCCUUUGGCCACAGACUGAAGGCUGCACUGUCAGCUUCCCUGCUUUUGAGGUUUUGGAACUUGGACUGGCUUCCUGGCGCCUGUGCUUGCAGAUGGCCUGUUGUGGGACCUCACCUUGUGAUCGCGUGAGUCAAUACUCCUUAAUAAACUCUCCUUUAUAUCUACAUCUAUGUUAGUUCUGUCCCUCUAGAUAACCCUGACUAAUACACCCCCAAAACUACCCAUGAUAAAAGUUGACUCUCCUAUUCUCUAGAAGCUAGAGAUCUGAGCAGUAUUUAUUUAUUUUUUAUUGUUUGAGAUGGAGUCUUGCUCUGUCACCCAGGCUAGAGUGCAGUGGCACGAUCUAGGCUCACUGCAACCUCUGCCUCCUGGGUUCAAGCAAUUCUCCUGCCUCAGUCUCCCAAGUAGCUGGGAUUACAGGUGCCUGCCAACAUGCCCGGAUAAUUUUUUGGUAUUUUAAAUAAAGACA